GACGAACGCUGGCGGCGUGCCUAAUACAUGCAAGUAGAACGCUGAAGAGAGGAGCUUGCUCUUCUUGGAUGAGUUGCGAACGGGUGAGUAACGCGUAGGUAACCUGCCUUGUAGCGGGGGAUAACUAUUGGAAACGAUAGCUAAUACCGCAUAACAAUGGAUGACACAUGUCAUUUAUUUGAAAGGGGCAAUUGCUCCACUACAGGAUGGACCUGCGUUGUAUUAGCUAGUAGGUGAGGUAAUGGCUCACCUAGGCGACGAUACAUAGCCGACCUGAGAGGGUGAUCGGCCACACUGGGACUGAGACACGGCCCAGACUCCUACGGGAGGCAGCAGUAGGGAAUCUUCGGCAAUGGGGGCAACCCUGACCGAGCAACGCCGCGUGAGUGAAGAAGGUUUUCGGAUCGUAAAGCUCGGUUGUAAGUCAAGAACGGGUGUGAGAGUGGAAAGUUCACACUGUGACGGUAGCUUACCAGAAAGGGACGGCUAACUACGUG
This 497-nucleotide ribosomal RNA is filed under the name uncultured bacterium. Its description in RNAcentral is "partial 16S ribosomal RNA". It matches the Rfam family "Bacterial small subunit ribosomal RNA", at positions 28 to 507 of the family's 1533-position model. The record is from RNAcentral.